Molecule: ribosomal RNA, 230 nt
Filed under: uncultured bacterium
Lineage: Bacteria
Description: partial 16S ribosomal RNA
Rfam family: Bacterial small subunit ribosomal RNA
Source: RNAcentral
UGCGUAGGCGUCCAGGAAAGUUAUUUGUUAAAGCCUCCGGCUUAACCGGAGAGAUGCAAGUAAAACUAUCUGGAUAGAGUUUAAGAGAGGAAAAUGGAAUUCCUGGUGUAGCGGUGACAUGCGUAGAUAUCAGGAGGAACAUCAAUGGCGAAGGCAGUUUUCUGGCUUAAAACUGACGCUGAGGCACGAAAGCGUGGGGAGCAAACAGGAUUAGAUACCCUGGUAGUCCC